This 200-nucleotide ribosomal RNA is filed under the name uncultured bacterium. RNAcentral's name for it is "partial 16S ribosomal RNA". It matches the Rfam family "Bacterial small subunit ribosomal RNA", at positions 8 to 210 of the family's 1533-position model. The record is from RNAcentral.
AGAGUUUGAUCAUGGCUCAGGACGAACGCUGGCGGCGUGCUUAACACAUGCAAGUCGAGCGGAAAGGCCCUUCGGGGUACUCGAGCGGCGAACGGGUGAGUAACACGUGAGGAACCUGCCCCUAACUCUGGGAUAGCUUCGGGAAACCGGAAUUAAUACCGGAUAUGACCAUGAUCGGCAUCGGUUAUGGUGGAAAGAUU